UUGGUUCAAGUAAUUUCUUUGUGUGGUUUUCUUAUGUAGAUAUUUGUUGUUAUAUUAUCGCUUUGUUGAACCAAUCAAUUAGAAAGUGUGCUUCUUGCUUCACAAUGUGUUGCGAGUUUAGGUACCACAAUAUGUAUGCUGAACAUAUUAUUUGGUUUCCAAUACUUUUCCAUUUUGUCUGAUCAUCAUUUUUUUCAGGAGCAUUUUUCACUUCGGCUUCAACUGUAUGAAAAAGAACUUGAAUUGGAUAUACUUGUUGGGUUUGUUUACUUUUACCCUUUUUUUUUGGCCUGGAUCUCAGAUAAAAUAUUGCUCAUCAUCCCAUUAUUCUCUUUACUUGGUAUACCAAAUUUAAUGGUGUCAUACUGAUCCACUUGUUAAUGCUGAUUAACUAGUUGAGGGUGUUUCAUGUGUUGUGUGCUUUGUGAAUUGAGUCUCAUAUAUAAAGCAGUACUUGCAAGGGUAUUUGUUCUUUAUGCUGAAGUAUUUCCAACGGCUGCAGGAAACUCUUGGACCUGUUCCUCAAGGAUUUGAUAUGUACUUUGCAAGUCGAUUCCCAAAGCUCCUAAUUGAAGUCUACAAAGUGGUUUACCGAUUCUGUAAGGAAGAGGAUUACCUUAGCAAGUAUUUCCAAUGCAGCAGCCUUCUGUAGAUUCAGAUCUUCUGUUCCAAAGACUUGAACCAAUAUGAGAAGUGCUUGUUUUGUUCUCUCUAUCUCUCUCUCUCUUCAUUUGGCGAAGGUAGGACUUCUUUUGCUUCUACUAGUAUCGAUUUUAGUUCUAAUCCAUGAUCGGUAGAUGUUUCUUCUCAUCUCUGUAUUGGAUGAUCUUUGAGUGUAGUUCGAUGAAUUGAAUGAGGCAUCCUUCCUCUUUCAUUAGGAUGCUUGUCUUCUUAGUUCUUGUAUUAGCGUAGAGUAGAUCGGUGCGUUCUUUGUGUAGAUGGAUUCUCUCUGCUUUUGUUUCAUUUUUUAUCGGAAGAGAAAUGCUGAUCAUGAGGUUGGCAACCUUCAAGCGGAUUUUUGGUUAUCUUCUCAAAGUUUUAUGGCAAAUAUGCUUCCCGGUGAUGAUCGGGUCUCGCUGUUUCGGGUUUUCCUCUUAUGCGUAGUGCAGUAAUGUUGUUGACGUCACUCCGGUUUGUCUCUAUUCAACAGACCAUGUCAGACACAAGUCGAUGCAGCGAGCGCCGGUUUCUCCCACCAUUGGCAACAGCCGCGGCUGUUCGAUCGCAUCAUCACCGGAUAAGGCAUAUUUUGGACCUCGAUCACGACUCAGAUCCACCGUUAGCGUAAGUGCAAACAUGAAACCGCAGGACAUGAAUCGAGCAUCACGUCGAAUACACCCCUACAGAUUCAGCACAAAGGCCACCUCCCUCCCACGUCGAUCGAAGCCCGUGCAAGGAGGCGUCUUCUCGACAAGUCUUGUUCCGGAAAGUUCAGGACGAUGUUGCAUGGCGUCGUUUCGCACAUACCAAUCAGCGACCAUACGAAGAUACGAACUCACUGCUCAGGGAGUCGAUCGCUACGUCAAACCCACGUACGAUCGACUCUCGGGCACUAUUAUAAAAGCCGUUGACCAGCAUCUGGCUAGAGGAUCCGAGAAAAAAGCCAAAAACCACUGACUUAAACUCCGAGAGGCCUAAGUCGGGAAUCCCCUAAUCCAGGCCUAUGUGUAGGGACACGACCACUCCCAGGCCAGCUCAAAUCCUCGGUGGAGGCGCGUUCAACCCAACUUCUGAUCCAGCCCAACCUCGGGACCCACCCGAUCGAUUGAGAGACACACUCUCAUUGAUAUGAUCUUAUAAAUAAUUAAUAUUUGUACAAUAUAAUGAUAUAAUCUUAUAAAUAAUUAAUAUUCUUAGUCAUAUUUUUCAAAGCCGUUAAUAGAUUACAUUAAAAUAGUUUAGGUGCAUUUACUUAACUAUCCAUAAGAUUUACCUGUCUAAGUUUUGUGCUUAAUUUACAGAAUGGCCAUAUUUUCUUACUGUAGGAGCACAAACAUCAACGUUGUCGACUGAUCAUAUCAUAUACUACAAUACAAAAAUUUUUUUUUUUUAUUUUUGGGGGGUCGACAAGUAGAAUACAUAUUUUAAUGCUGUCCGUCCGAUCAGAAUCAUCUGAUGGGUGACGUGUCCAUAUUUGCUCUGCCAAGCUUGGCAAGUGAUGCAAAUAAUUGAAAGUUCCGUGAAUAAUGGGCCUUUGGCAGUAUCGUUAGUCCAUAGCCUAAUCGUAGGACCUGAUUUGAUAGCACAGUUAUGGGCCAAGCCCAACUAUACGUCACGAAUACGAAAGCCAUCAAACAAUCGUACGGUGUCGCAUAUGCUUUCCGUAGUGGCCCGCGCAAGCAAGAGGCUGCAAGGCGAAAAGGAAAGGGAGAUGAUCGGGUCUGUGGAAGCUCUUGGUAUGGGGCUGGGUUGGAAAACCCUACCGCCCCGCCAUGUUUGUCUUACAUGGAGUGAGGUCUUUUCCAAUGCCUCCAAUGCCGAUGGUUUCCAGGCACCCCUCCCUUUCCCUCUCUGAGUCUUUUGAGGAUUGGUGUGACAUGCGAUGGUGAAGAAGGCGCCGGGAGGAGGGAGAGGAAGCGCAGGGAUUCCUACAAGCUGUGGGGAUGGGGGCAUCGCCGUGCCCAUACCAGCUCUGGCUGAGAGAUGCAGGUUGAUGGUGCUUGCCGAUCCCUCCCAUGCCUAUGGUUUUUAGUAGCUCGUUCCUCUCCCUUGCCCCUCUUGUAAUGCUCUUACGUUAUGGAUGCGGCUUACAGUAAGAACAGGUGUUCUUAUUUCAGCCGCCUCCUCCACCAACCAUUCUGUCCGCUGCCGGAGAGCUCCGACAAACAACCCAGCCGUUUCAGAACAUCCCCCCUCUGCACCUUUUGUCGUCGGCUGCAACAGAAUGGCACCGCUCCACGCAUCCGUCGCCCUCCUCCCUUUACACCUCCUCCCCCGGUGGUGCCGUGUUAUCCCUCCAUGGUUUGGCUCCUCAUGAAACCUCCACCAGCUGCAAAAUACCAUCUCCACCAACCAUUCUUUCCGCAGCCUGAAAGCUCCGACAAAGCACCCAGCCGUUUCAGAAGGGCAACUCCUUGUUUCCUUGCCCCAUUCUACCGUUUUGACCUAGUGGGGUUCGCCUUAUCUUGAUCCAUCCCCGGCCAAUUUAGUCGCUCCCCAAAACCAACCCCCACUCCCCCUCCUCUCCCUCCAUUCGAUGCUCCCAUCCGAGCGCUCCGUCGCUUUCUUCGCCUUGCUCCUGCUAGGGUUACUCGUCUCCGGCGUGUUGACGCCCGUGGUGCUUGAUCCGUCGGCGGAGAGCGAAUCUUGGGGGACCGCAGCUGCCGCCGCUGCAUCUGCUUCCCCUCUUCCUUCUCCUCCUACUCCUUGGCUUUCAAUUCCUGCUCCGCCUACUAGCGAGAUCUUCCAGGAAGAAAAAUGGACCGACCGGCCAUUGUCGGGGGAUUUGGUACCGGUCGAGGAGUCUCCUCCUUUUGUCCCGGAUCCCAAAUCGGCGUUGCUAUUGAGUUCGGCUGAAAGGUAAGCACUUGGAUUUUGGAUUGGUUCAAGUAAGAGCAGGGUUUUCUGCUAUCGCUCGUAUGUUUUUGAUUGGUUGUGUUUGUUAAAGAUCUAACUUUUUAAAGUUCAAGACACGAAUUUGAAGAUAGUUGUCGUGAAAUUUGACUCUCUCCUUUCGAAAUUCGACAUUACUUGCAGCUUAGUAGAGGCUAGCUGCUGUAACAAUGACAAUUUGCUAGCUGUGAUAGGCGUUCUUUUAAGCAUGUCGACUUGUGCGAAUAUGUGUUUCAAAGUAGCAGCAGCUUGAUUAUGGUAAUUCCUGAAAUUCUCAUGUGGCUCGAUGAAACAUUUUGCACCCACUAAGAACCAUUGGCUUUCUGAUAUUUUCUAUAUUAGCUUAUGGAAACAGUUGUUAGAUGAAUGCAUAGGUAUACCUUCAAGUGGGUGAAACUAAUACUAGGUGUUUUCAAGUUUUGUUAGUGCAAGUAAUUUUGGAUCUAUGAGCAAGCUUAUGAAUGCGAAUCAGCCAGUAAGUGUUCCUUAGGAAUUGUCACAAAUUCCGUUAUGGACCAUGACCAGAUAGUGGAGAGACUAAACGAUGAACAUAUUUCUUUAGUUGGAUCACGAGGCUUGCCUACUUCCCCAAAUGGAUCUCCACUGGGAAAUUGCAUUUUUGAUAGGCCAAAAUUUCCUACAGCAUAUUCUAGUUUUGUAAACUCAAGACAGAGACCCAGAGGUCCAAUCAACUGGCUUUAUCACGAACAAGAGAGUUCUAAUACAUCAUGGAACUCAUUGGAUGAUUCAAAUACUUAUUCAAUCGACGGACAUUCUCAUGUUCAGCAAGGCCGUGGCUUGUCAACACAAUCUAUUUAUGGUCAUGGUUGGCUAUUUAUUCUCUCUGUGCCUAUAUUUGCAUUUUGCUAUUUUGGGUUGAGAAAGCUGUUCAAGAAUGAUAAAAAAUAUAAUGAUUUGAAGGAAAAGCAAUCUGUCGUUCCUAAGAAGAGAAAAUCUCGGAAGUCUGGAAAGUUGAAAAAUGCUACCAUCAGUGUUAGUCAUGACAGACAUACUUUAUCCAUGAAAGAGAAUGCUGAAACCAAUGGGCAUAAUCAAAUUCAGGUCAAUGGAAGUUAUUCAUUUAUACCUGAUGGUGAUAGUGAUGGGCGUUGGGUUGGAAGACUUUUUGUUACAAAUAUUGAAAUCGGUCACGGGAGCAAUGGUACAGUCGUCUUUGAAGGAUUUUAUGGUGGUCGUCCAGUUGCUGUAAAACGGCUUCUUCGUGCACAUCAUGAUGUUGCCUUUAAAGAGAUUCAGAAUCUUACUGCAUCUGAUCGACACCCAAAUAUUGUUCGGUGGUAUGGAGUAGAACAAGAUUUGGAUUUUUUGUAUAUCUCACUGGAGCGUUGUAUUUGCAGCCUAAGUGACUUAAUAUGCAUAUGCUCAGAUUCUUCUUCACAUUCAGUAUCUGUGGAAAAUCAAACUUUAAAUUCUGUGGUCGAAGAUAAAGUUCAAUUAAGCUUGGUGAAAGGUAUCAGAAAGGAUGUUAACUUGUGGAGAUCAAAUGGGUUUCCUUCAAGCCAACUCUUAAAGAUAAUGAGGUGCGGCUUUGUCCUUUCCAUCGUAUGUCUCUUCACUGUAGAUUUUGUGUUGCUCUGUUACUUCUUUGUCUCUUUGUAUAUAUAUUUGAGUCAAUAUUUUUUUAUAAACAGCUUAUAGGUCAUCUUUUAUCUUGUUGGCAUUGGGUGUUUAUUGAACGGUGAAGAAUUUUCCAUUUAAUAGCCAUUGUUUCCUUAAGAAUAGAAGACAAUGACAAUUUGAGUCUCAUUUGAUUGAAUUUAGCAAUUUGGUUUUUUCUUAGAAGUAGCUUCUUGAUUGCAAUAUUAUUUUCUUUCACAAAAGAAAACUUCAAAAUACAUCAGAACCAGCUCUGCUCUGUACAACAGAUGAUGGCGAAGUUGGGAAGAAGUUAUAUGCAUAUUCAUUAGUAACACAGUUUCUUAAGCACAAGAAAACUUUGUACAACAGAGGAUGACAUAUGUUUCUAUACAAAAUCAAGAGUGACAUGGUUUCUUAAACAGAAUAAAAACCUAAAGUUUAUAGCCUCUUCCAUCCUUUUAUUUGAGUAUAUUCAUCUUAAAUUCUUGAGAUCAAUUUGCUGUGUGUGUGUAACUUGGUUCAAGUAAUUUCUUUGUGUGGUUUUCUUAUGUAGAUAUUUGUAGUUAUAUUAUCGCUUUGUUGAACCAAACAAUUAGAAAGUGUGCUUCUUGCUUCAGAAUGUGUUGCGAGUUUAGGUACCGCAAUAUGUAUGCUGAACAUAUUACUUGGUUUCCAAUACUUUUCCAUUUUGUGUGAUCAUCAUCAUUUUUUUCAGAUGGAGCAUUUUUCACUUCAGCUUCAACUGUAUGAAAAAGAACUUGAAUUGGAUAUACUUGUUGGGUUUGUUUACUUUUACCUCUUUUUAUUUGCUUGGAUCUCAAAUAAAAUAUUGUUCAUCAUCCCAUUAUUCUCUUUACUUCGUAUACUAAAUUUAAUGCUCGUGUCAUACUGAUCCACUUGUUAAUGCUGAUUAACUUGUUGAGGGUGUUUCAUAUGUUGUGUGCUUUGUGAAUUGAGUCUCAUAUAUAAUGCAGUAGUUGCAAGGGUAUUUGUUCUUUAUGCUGAACAAAUGAAACUCUUUGUUCCUCAAGGAUUUGUUCUUUAUGCUGAACAAAUGAGGCUGCAGGAAACUCUUGGACCUGUUCCUCAAGGAUUUGAUAUGUACUUUGCAAGUCGAUUCCCAAAGCUCCUAAUUGAAGUCUACAAAGUGGUUUACCGAUUCUGUAAGGAAGAGGAUUCCCUUAGCAAGUAUUUCGAAAGCAGCCUUUUGUAGGUUCAAAAUGCUUGUUUUGUACUUCUUGGAUGCAAUAACUAAACCCUAGUAUAUUAUCCUAAAAAGGUUGUAUCUACUAUGUUUAUAAUCCAAAUCCUGCUUA
RNAcentral lists this long non-coding RNA (6467 nucleotides) under Musa acuminata (dwarf banana). RNAcentral's name for it is "long non-coding RNA (MACU_LNC001615)". The record is from RNAcentral. Lineage: Eukaryota; Viridiplantae; Streptophyta; Magnoliopsida; Zingiberales; Musaceae.